AAUGAUUCCCCACAUCGGGAGCUAUAGGGAACGAAUUGAGACACAGCCCUGGAUGUAAUCACGUCUGUGCUGAUCACGUGCCUGUACACAAACCCGCAGCUCACUUGCAAAAGAUUAUCCGGUUAUUUAUUACACGUAAAGUAAACGUUUUUAAUGUUAUCAUGAAUCAAUGUUAUAGUUUUGUAUGUCACAUUAUUUUUUGAGAAGAGUCAUGACUGAACGCGGACCUUACACGCUGUUAUUUUUUUGUGUGCGUAUGGCCAAGGUACAGUGCGCUCUUUUGCACUCUAUGACCAGCCAUCAGUAAAUCGAAAUACAGUAAAAAAAUGAGCGCGAAACCCUGACACUUUACAGAAAGACACGGAUAUCCCCGCCCGAAGAAAAAAAGAACACAGGACAAUGGUUGCAAGUUAAACAGCUGAACAUUUCACCAUCUGCAAAGAACAUUUCACCAUCAACAUAUUAACAUAAACGGUUCUCUUUUUCUUGUUUGACUGCGUUUGGUACAGGUCACAACAACGACGGCAGAUGUAGAGACCACGCUUUCCCUUGCUUCCACUCCACGGCUGAUCAUGCUUGAGGAUCCAGAUCUACAAAACAAAAAAUGGAUGCUGCCGAUUGAAGGCUAAGUCCGCUUUCCUGCGAUUGACCUACCAUUUCUUCAGCUUUUGCUGUUCACUUUGGUUGCUACUACGUGCUCAACAUCGAGUACCAUGUGCAAGCAGCCACUACUUUGGAGUUUAUUCAGAGAUUUAUUGUGAGGAUCAGCCCCGACAACAGCAAGUGCUCCUCUAACUUCCAGGUGAGCAAAAGAAGUGGGAAGAUGGUGCAAAGGAAGAACUCUGGCCUGAACCAUCAUGUAUAUAUCCACCUUUAUUAAGGACUUUAUGAAUUAAGCAAAACUAUUAAGCAACUAAAGCAAAUACAUUCUACUCAACUCACCAGAGGUUUGUGAAGUUCUUUUUUUUCUUAAAGGUUUCUUUUAGUUAAUUUGUCCAUGCACUGAUUUAUAAUAUUGUAAUAUGAAACUCCAGUGUAUACAUGUUACUACUGUUGCUUCUAAAAGCAAAAUAAGUCUAUGCAGGAGAGGUUUUGUUACGUUUUUUUAAAAAUUAUUC
Non-coding RNA from Misgurnus anguillicaudatus (oriental weatherfish), 1118 nucleotides. Lineage: Eukaryota; Metazoa; Chordata; Actinopteri; Cypriniformes; Cobitidae. The record is from RefSeq and is a predicted model, not a curated record.